AAAGAAAUGACAUGGUAGAAAUUCAUUCACACAUAUCAGGGUCAUAGUGAGAGGAUUGAUCUGCUUGAUUCGCUCCUGAUGGUCGGUGGAUUGUUUCUGGUAGGGCUAAGAGUUCUGUGAAGGUAAGAUUUUGAUCCAACCUAUUAAGCAGUACCACACAAAUUAUAGGAGAAUCUGUUGUUUGGUCCAACCUAUAAAGGUGCCAUAUAUGCUCAAUUGCUCACAACAGUGCUAAUAUUAACAAGGUGCAUAAACUCACGCUCUAGCGGAAGAUAUCCUUUAUAUUUUUGGGGUCACUGAUACCUGUUCAAAAACAUAAGAUGUGUUCCUAGAUAACAUCUUUCCUCCAAAAUAAUUUAUAUAUCAUCUAGACUUGGUUAGUUGUAACUUUUGCUUUCUGUUCUUUCCACAAGCUUCUGUAGGUUCAAAUGACAAUUGUUAAAUUUUGGGACCUUAAGACUUUUUAGUUGAUUGCAUCCUCCAGACCGGGAGGUAUAAUAGCAUAUCCUAAUUGUCUAAUUGAUGAUUCAGAAAGCUCUGGCUCUACUCAUGUAUAUCAGUUUAUAUUCAGAUUGUGAAGUACUCCUUCUAUAAAGAAAUAUAAGAGAGUUUAGUUCUAUAAAACAUAUUUAUAUGCAGUUAUCCAACAAAUUUAUGUCCUAAAAUCUUACAACUUCUCUUAAGCUGUUUUUUUACGGGAAAACUAUAUUUGAUCAUAACCUUGGCUUAAAUGCAAUUUAAUUUCAACCUCAAAUUUGGUGAUUUUUUAAUGGGCACAACUGUGUCGGUAGAGGACUAGAGGUUGACAGUUAUGAAUUUUGUGAUAAUCUUCGGUUAUACUGUUAUAUGUAGCACUUUCCAGGUUAUAUGGUUCACAUUCUCUGAGCCAAUUCACAAUGACCAUUCCAGAUUUGGGCCUUGCGUUUUUAAAUUAUUUUGUAACAUUUUGGUUGAUCUUUGAUGCUGCUCCUUAAUUUUUUACAUUGACUGGUGUAGAACUAAAUGAGUGUUGACAUUCAAGGGAAGCCCCAAGCUUUUAAACAGUAUAUGAAUGUUGUUAGCUCGGUCCUUCACAAAUAAGUCCCUUGAUGUGUGUCAUCUCUCAUUGCGUAUAACAUCUGGUCUUUCUAUUUUUCAUUGAUUUUUCUUCUCCCGGUGCACUGAAUCUGCAAGGGCGUGUAGACGGCAGGAUGAGCAGCAGCAUGCCGGUGGUAAGACAGGGCGUGUAGACGGCAGGAUGAGCAGCAGCAUGCCAGUGGUAAGACAGGGCGUGUUGGCGUAUGCGAAGCAGCCAUGCAUGAAUCUUGGCGGCAGAUGCUUGCUGGCCGUAGUGGCAGCACCAAUUCAAGCCGGGAGGCGGGAAGCUGGAGUAGCAGGAACGAUUGGUCGUCCAUUAGGCAUGAACCCAACUCCACUGUACUCCCUUUUCUUUCCGUAACCAAUUCUUUGGAGCAGACAUGUGGGUACAGUUACAUAGCCUGAAGAUUGUUUGCUUUUUUUGGUUAGUUUAGAUUUAGAUUUCUCAGAUAUUCACUAUUUGAUCAAUCGAUCCAUGUAGAUCUCAUUGACAUGGUUUGUGGAAUGUACCUUUCAGCAUUUACCCUGAUUAGUUAAAUCCCUAGCUGGUGAUAAGAGGAAGAGGAUGAUCAGGAAAGCAUGGAGUUAAGUGAAUCAGUACAGGAAGAAGGCCGUUCAGAAAAAAAAUAGUAGAGGAAGAAAGGGAGGAGCAGCAGUCAAGGUUGGGCUUGGUGGCCUCGACGCCUAUGACCUCCUCUAUGCCAAGCCUCGCAUCACCCAGUUAUUAUGUUAUCUACUCCCUCCGUUCCGAAU
This 1830-nucleotide long non-coding RNA is filed under the name Triticum aestivum (bread wheat). Its description in RNAcentral is "long non-coding RNA (TAES_LNC020022)". The record is from RNAcentral. Lineage: Eukaryota; Viridiplantae; Streptophyta; Magnoliopsida; Poales; Poaceae.